Molecule: long non-coding RNA, 164 nt
Organism: Condylura cristata (star-nosed mole)
Lineage: Eukaryota; Metazoa; Chordata; Mammalia; Eulipotyphla; Talpidae
Exons: 3
Source: RefSeq, a predicted model, not a curated record
AAAAAGAGAUGGAUGGAAGAACAUUAAGCGAAGGGGAUAUGAGAAGCAAAAGGGGAGUGCAGCAGACAGCUGGAAAUGUGGUUGGGAAAGAAGAUGCAGCUAAGAGAAAGAUUUGAGAGUCAGCCAUGGAGAGCGGGUUAAAGCACAGCACUAAGAAGCUAAAG